Zophobas morio is the source of this 328-nucleotide long non-coding RNA. RefSeq lists it as uncharacterized. The record is from RefSeq and is a predicted model, not a curated record. Lineage: Eukaryota; Metazoa; Arthropoda; Insecta; Coleoptera; Tenebrionidae. The transcript is spliced from 3 exons.
UUAAAUUUCAUUUUUUUUUUCUCUCCAGGCCUUCUUUGAAGGAGAAGUCGCCCAUUCAUUUAGGAAGCACUCUUGGUUCGUGUUCUCCUGAUUUAAAAUUUGACUCUAUCGGAAGGGCUAUCACUACUACCUAUUAAAUAUUGAUGGCCUACUGACUUCUUGUUUUUUUUAAAUAUUGAAGAGUUUGAUCCGAUAUAUUGCGCAAUAAAAAUCACUUUUUUAAGAGAGGCCGACUUGAUAAUGAUCUUUAUUUACAACUGUCUCAAAUGUUAUGCAAAUUUAUAACUCUUUGAUAUUCUUCUGUUUCUUUUGAAAUUUGUUUGCAACC